GACGAACGCUGGCGGCGUGCUUAACACAUGCAAGUCGAACGGUGAAGCGCCUUCCUUUUUGGUGGGUGUGGAUGAGUGGCGAACGGGUGAGUAACACGUGAGUAACCUGCCCCCUUCUUCUGGAUAACCGCAUGAAAGUGUGGCUAAUAUGGGAUAUUCUGGGUCUGUCGCAUGAUGGGUCUGGGAAAGAUAUUGUUUCGGUGGGGGAUGGGCUCGCGGCCUAUCAGCUUGUUGGUGGGGUGAUGGCCUACCAAGGCGGUGACGGGUAGCCGGCCUGAGAGGGUGGACGGUCACACUGGGACUGAGACACGGCCCAGACUCCUACGGGAGGCAGCAGUGGGGAAUAUUGCACAAUGGGCGCAAGCCUGAUGCAGCGACGCCGCGUGAGGGAUGGAGGCCUGCGGGUUGUGAACCUCUUUCGCCAGUGAAGCAGGCCUGCCUCGUUUGUGGGUGGGUUGACGGUAGCUGGAUAAGAAGCGCCGGCUAACUACGUG
RNAcentral lists this ribosomal RNA (494 nucleotides) under uncultured bacterium. RNAcentral's name for it is "partial 16S ribosomal RNA". It matches the Rfam family "Bacterial small subunit ribosomal RNA", at positions 28 to 507 of the family's 1533-position model. The record is from RNAcentral.